GAUGAACGCUGGCGGCGUGCCUAAUACAUGCAAGUCGAGCGAACAGAUGAGGAGCUUGCUCCUCUGACGUUAGCGGCGGACGGGUGAGUAACACGUGUAUAACCUACCUAUAAGACUGGGAUAACUACGGGAAACCGGAGCUAAUACCGGAGAAUAUAUUGAACCGCAUGGUUCAAUAGUGAAAGACGGUUUUGCUGUCACUUAUAGAUGGAUCCGCGCCGCAUUAGCUAGUUGGUAAGGUAACGGCUUACCAAGGCAACGAUGCGUAGCCGACCUGAGAGGGUGAUCGGCCACACUGGAACUGAGACACGGUCCAGACUACUACGGGAGGCAGCAGUAGGGAAUCUUACGCAAUGGGCGAAAGCCUGACGGAGCAACGCCGCGUGAGUGAUGAAGGUCUUCGGAUCGUAAAACUCUGUUAUUAGGGAAGAACAAAUGUGUAAGGAAAUAUGCACGUCUUGACGGUACCUAAUCAGAAAGCCACGGCUAACUACGUG
Molecule: ribosomal RNA, 497 nt
Filed under: uncultured bacterium
Lineage: Bacteria
Description: partial 16S ribosomal RNA
Rfam family: Bacterial small subunit ribosomal RNA
Source: RNAcentral